This 468-nucleotide ribosomal RNA is filed under the name uncultured bacterium. RNAcentral describes it as "partial 16S ribosomal RNA". It matches the Rfam family "Bacterial small subunit ribosomal RNA", at positions 28 to 507 of the family's 1533-position model. The record is from RNAcentral.
GACGAACGCUGGCGGCGUGCUUAACACAUGCAAGUCGAACGGAAAGGCCCUGCUUUUGUGGGGUGCUCGAGUGGCGAACGGGUGAGUAACACGCGAGUAACCUGCCCUUGACUUUGGGAUAACUUCAGGAAACUGGGGCUAAUACAGGAUAGGAGCUCCUGCUGCAUGGGGGGGGUUGGAAAGUUACGGCGGUUGGGGAUGGACUCGCGGCUUAUCAGCUUUUUGGUGAGGUAGUGGCGUACCAAGGCUUUGACGGGAAGCCGGCCUGAGAGGGUGACCGGCCACAUUGGGACUGAGGUACGGCCCGGACUCCUACGUGAGGCAGCAGUGGGGGAUAUUGCACGAUGGGCGGAAGCCUGAUGCAGCAACGCCGCGUGCUGGAUGACGGCCUUCGGGUUGUAAACCGCUUUCGCCUGUGACGAAGCGUGAGUGACGGUAAUUGGUAAAGAAGCACCGGCUAACUACGUG